CCUACGGGUGGCAGCAGUGGGGAAUAUUGCACAAUGGGGGAAACCCUGAUGCAGCAACGCCGCGUGAGGGAAGACGUUUUUCGGAUUGUAAACUUCUGUUCUUAGUAAAGAAAAAUACCGUUAGCUAAGAAGCAACCCACGGCUAACUACGUCCCAGCAGCCGCGGUAAUACGGAGGUGGCAAGCGUUGUCCGGAAUUACGGGGUGAAAGGGGAGCGCAGGCGGGAAGCCAAGUCAGCUGUGAAAACUACGGGCUUAACUUGGAGACUGCAGUGGAAACUGGUUUGCUGGAGUGCAGUAGAGGUUGGCGGAAGUCCGAGUGUAGCGGUGAAAUGCGUAGAUAUCCGGAGGAACACCGGCGGCGAAGGCGGCUAACUGGGCUGUAACUGACGUUGAGGCUCGAAAGCGUGGGGAGCAAACAGGAUUAGAUACCCGUCUAGUC
RNAcentral lists this ribosomal RNA (441 nucleotides) under uncultured bacterium. RNAcentral describes it as "partial 16S ribosomal RNA". It matches the Rfam family "Bacterial small subunit ribosomal RNA", at positions 338 to 795 of the family's 1533-position model. The record is from RNAcentral.